Small nuclear RNA from Gorilla gorilla gorilla (western lowland gorilla), 168 nucleotides. It matches the Rfam family "U2 spliceosomal RNA". Rfam says of the family: U2 is a small nuclear RNA (snRNA) component of the spliceosome (involved in pre-mRNA splicing). Complementary binding between U2 snRNA (in an area lying towards the 5' end but 3' to hairpin I) and the branchpoint sequence (BPS) of the intron results the bulging out of an unpaired adenosine, on the BPS, which initiates a nucleophilic attack at the intronic 5' splice site, thus starting the first of two transesterification reactions that mediate splicing. The record is from Rfam. NCBI's taxonomy places the organism in Eukaryota, Metazoa, Chordata, Mammalia, Primates, Hominidae.
UAAGCUUCCUGGCCUGUUAGCUAAGAUCAAGUGUAGUAUCUGUUCUUAUCAGUUUAAAUACCAUAUAAGAUUAUAUAUAAUGGUGUCAACUAGUUGGUGAUAAUUCCUUAUAGUUACAUAGUGCCUUAUCACUAAUAUAAGUAUUUCACAAAUACUCAAAUACUGUUU